Long non-coding RNA from Equus caballus (horse), 4835 nucleotides. Lineage: Eukaryota; Metazoa; Chordata; Mammalia; Perissodactyla; Equidae. The record is from Ensembl.
CUCCCAGGCCGUCUACGGCCAUACCACCCUGAACGCGCCCGAUCUCGUCUGAUCUCGGAAGCUAAGCAGGGUCGGGCCUGGUUAGUACUUGGAUGGGAGACCGCCUGGGAAUACCGGGUGCUGUAGGCUUUUGCCUCCCGCCGCCUCCCUCUCCUUUUGCGCCCCCCCCCCCCCCGGCCCCAGCGCCGCUCCCUCCACGCUCCUCCCGCCCCUCCUCCCUCCUCACCGGUCGCCCCAUCGCCCCGCCACGCCCCCACCGCUGUCCAGCCGCGCGAGUGCCCCGCGGCCGCGGCCACCGCCGCCGCCGCCGCCGCCGCCGCCCAGCCCUUCCACCUCGCGGCCCCACGGGAACCCAGGGCCAACCGGGGCCGGCCCCGCGUGGCCGUGCCCCCGACGCCGCCCUCGUCCGGCGGGCUCCCUCUGUCCUCGGCGGCCUCUUCCCACCCGCCAGGCUCCUGAGAGACCCUAGCGGUCCACUCGGCCGGCGCGGCACCCAAGCAGUUGGUCGAGUCGUGGUGUGCGAUGGAACGGAUCCCGCUCCGGGCUGCGGAGGCCCGGACAGCUUCAGCAAGCUGCCAGCAGCCCCUCCGUCUUCCAGAGCCCAUCUAGGAAAGACCCCGGGUCAGGCCUCUCCAAACAGCACCUACAGAAGGACGGGGCCCACUGGGCUCGAGAGGAACCUUCGGGGCCUGGCCAUCCAUCCCAAGCGGGACGGCUUCUGGAUUUUCUGAUGCCUGCGCCGUGUGUCAGCUUCUCCAAGUCGGUACCUGGCUGUCCUUGAUACCGUCGUUCGCGAGAAACCCUCGUUUCCGCACUGGAGUUGAAGCAGCACAGAGGAAAAGAUUCAGAAACUAAGGAUAAAGAUGCAGGAAGAUCGCGAUGGAGAGGAAUGAAAUUGAGGAGCUCUAAUGGAUGGUAUUUCUCUUCUUAGGAAGUCAUGACACCCUGCAAAAUAGCUCAAAGAGAGUUGACUGAAGAAAUGGAAACGUCAGUGAUGAAGGAUGCAAGAAACAGGACAGCAGUCCAGUAAUUCACCCUGGAGGGGUUUGCAGCUGUCCAGCAUCAUAGGAAGGUUUUCUUCCUGGUGCAUCUGCUGGAGUACCUGGCCUCCAUCAUGGGAAACAUACUCAUAAUCACCAUCACCUGGGCUGACCAUCACCUCCAGACACCUAUGUACUUCUUCCUCAGCAGUUUCUCCUUUGUUGAAUGCUGCUUAUAACCACUGUUAUUCCUAAGUUGCUGGCUAUCUUUCUGUCAUGGAGGAAAUCAACUAAAAACAUGGAAAAAUCUAUACCAGGGCACAUACUAAUCAAAUUGCUCAAAACCAGUGAUAAAGAGAAAUCUUCAAAGCAGCCAGAAGAAAAAAAGACACAUUUCAUACAGAGGAACAAAGAUAAAGAUACCAAAGAUUUCUCUUUGAAAAUAACUAAGUGAGAACUCAAUGACACAAUUUUUAAAGGACUGUGAAUAAAAAUUUGCCAACCCAGAAUUUAGUCAUGAAAAUAUCUUUCAAAAGUGAAGGCAUACAAAAGAUAAAAGAAUUAAUCACCAGCAAAUCUACAGAAUGAUAAUUGGUAAAGGCAGUCCUCCAAGAGAAAGAAAAUUAUACCAGAUAGAAAUAUGGAUCUAUGCAAAGGAAUGAAGAACACCAGAAAUAGUAACCAUGGGGUAGGAACAUAGGGUAUUUUUAAAUAAUUUAAAUUUCUUUGAAAGAUCAUUGACUCUGUCAACAAAAAUAGUAACAAUGCACUGUGGGGUUUAUAACGUAUGUAUAAGGAAAAUGUAUGAAAAGAAUAGCAUAAAGUCUGAGGGAGUAGAAAUGGAAGUAUGUUAUUACAAGUUGCUUAUAUGAUAUGUGAAGUGGUAAAAUAUCACUUGAAGGUAGACAAUGAUAAUUUAAAGAUGUAUACUAUAAAUCCAAGGCAACCACUGAAAUAAAAAUCAGAGUUGUAGCUAAGGAGCCAACAAAGGAGAUAAAAUGGAAUCAUCACAAUGGGGCAGCAGGAAACUUUUGGGCUGGUGAAUAUUUUCAUUAUAAUCAUUGUGGUGGUGAUUUUACAACUGUUUAAAUGUGUCAAAACUUAUCAAAUUGUACUCUUGAAAUAUGUCCAUUUUAUUUUGUAUCAAUGAUACCUUAAUAAAGCUGUUUCAAAGACAAUAAAGCAGAUUGCAAUGGAAUAUUAAAAAUGCUUCAUUAAUUCAAAAAAAGAAAGGAGAAAAUAAGGAAUAUAUAAUGGUGGGGACAAAUAGAAGGAAACAUCAAAAUUGUAGAGUUAAAUCUAACUUUACAAUAAUGAGAUUAAAUGUAAAUAGACUAAGCACUUGAAUGAAAAGAGAGAGAGAGAUUACUACAUUAGGUAAAAAGGAAGACCUUACUAUGACUUGGUUACAGGAAUAACAUUUAAAUACACAAACGGAGUAGAAAUUUCAAACAAACAUCAAGCUUGUUUGACUAUAGUAGUAUAUAAAAAAAUAGACUUCGCAGUCAAGUGUAUUUUCAGAGAUAAAAAGGCAAAUUUAUAGUGAUAAAUGAAUGAAAUCACCAAGAAGACAUAGUAAUUCUACAUAUACACGCACACAAUGAUAGACAAUCAGAUGUGGUUAGUGAAAACACAAACUGGGGUCCUACUUCCCAUUAUUUUAAGUGGGAAAACUAUAAUCAGUACUCAAUCUAGUCCCACCUCCAACUAGUUUUCUAAACCACAGUAAAAAUGUCUCUGUAUAAAUAAUAAGCAUCAUGUUAGGGUACAAAAUGCUUAAAACUUUGCUACAUGAUUUCCAAAAAACUAAUGUCAUUCUUGGCAAACUGUUGCUUCUCUGCACUAACGUGACCUUUAAGAAAGAAAAUCCAAGAAACACUACCACUCUGUUGACAUUCUGUGGCUUUUCAAACAUUUAUCUUCGUAUUUUAAUUUGAGUCUUUUCUCGCGUAUAAUUUUGUUUUAAUGUUGUAUUGAGCUUUGGAGUUGAAAAUAUUAAUAUUUCCCACAUAAACAUUAUUUAGCAAUUUUUACUAAGAGAUAUGUUCUCUGAAGUUUAAGUACUAACGCUAUGGGUUUUUCUACUGGUGAAAAGUUCUGCAAGAUGUGCCUAUAAAUGAUGAACUUGGUUUAAUAGUACAUGUCCACAUACCAGGACACCACAAACCCUUUAUGUGUUAGAUUGUGCCUUCUGUCAAUUGUUAGCUUCAUAUUCUUUCUAGGUUAGGUUUUUAUCUAUCAGAGAAGGCUUUAAUGACAUUCAACAAACAACAUUGAAGAUGUCCAGAAAAACAUGGAGAAAAAUUCAAAUUUCUAUGGAGACUAAUGAGAUGCAACCAUGAAGACUUUCUAUACAUGGGAAUUCUUUACAAAGAGCAAAAAAUAGUUUCCUUGCAUGUACCUGUGGCCCAUAUUAAAGAAUGAAGAAGACAUCAAUAAUUUUUAAAUAAGAUAUAGAGUUUACAUUCUCCAUUCAAAAUGUACAAAAACUAGAAAUUAGUAACAGUUUUAUAAACAAUAAUUGCUUGGCAAUUAAAAAAUCUUCCUAUACAACUUCAGCGAAAGAGAUAUUGAAAUUACCACUAUAGAAAAAUCACACACUUUAAUCUUCUGGGAUUUAACCACCUGGGAUUUCUAAUUGUCCCUCUCCUUUGGUUUUAUCCUUUAUUUGCUUUUUUUUUCCUACUACUGAAAAAUUCUCCUCCUGCACAUGGUAUUUGAUAUCACUUACAGCAUCUGCCUAUGCCUUCAGCUCAUCUUUUCUAUUUCUUCUCCAUCUCACCUUCACCUGUAAGCAUAUGAAAGUAUGCUGCAUGAUUUUAUAACUCCAUGCUUUACAAAUGCUGUUGACCAACCUGAAAUCCCUUCCAUUUUCAUUGUCCAAAUGGAAAAUUCCUGUGUCUUCCAAAAUCACCUCUUUUAUACAGUCUCAAAAAUAAAGAACUCAUACAACUCAACAACAAAAAACCAAACAGUCCGAUUAAAAAAUGGGCAGAGGAACUGAAUAGACAUUUUUCCAAAGAAGACAUACAAUUGGCCAACAAGUGCAUGAAAAGAUGAAAAUCAUUAAUAAAAAUGCAAAAAUCACUAAGGGGAAUGUAAAUCAAAACCACAACGAGAUAUCAUCUCACACUUCUUUGGAUGGCUAUGAUCAAAAGAACAAAGGACAAGAAGUGUUGUCAAGGAUGUAGAGAAAAGGGAACCCUGUACACUGUUAAUGAGAAUGUAAAUUGGUGCAUCAACUGUGGAAAACAGUAUAGAGUUUCCUCAAAAGAUUAACAGUAGAAUUUACAUUUGAUCCAGCAACCACAUUUUUGAGUAUUUAGGGAAAGGAAUUGAAAUAUGGACAUCAAAGAGAUAUUUUCAGUCCCAUGCUUGUUGCAGCAUUAUUCACAAUAGCCAAGAAAUGGAAAGAACCUCAAUGUUCAUUCACAGAAGCAUUCAUAAAGAAAACCUAGUAUAUACAUAUAAUGGAAUAUUAUUCAACUUUAAAAAAGAAGGAAAUGUUGCCAUUUGUGAAAGCGUGGAUGUCCCUGGAGGGCAUCAUUCUUAGUAAAAUAAGCCUGACAUGGAAAGGCAAACAUUCCGUGAUCUCACUUAUGUGUUGGAAUCUAAUUAAACAUAUAGAAGAAGAGAGUAGAAAGGUAGUUGUCAGGGGCUGGGUAGGGAGUAGAAUAAGGAAGUGUUGAUCAAGGGUACAAACUUUCAGUCAUAUAAAAUAAGAUCUGGAGAUCUGUACAAUACAGGGCCUAUGAUUAUCAAUAUUCUAUUGUCUACUUAAAAAUUUUCUAAAAGGGUAGAGCUUACAAGUGCUCUUACCGUAUAAGAAAAAAAACCCAAACAAACAACAGAGGG